AACGAACGCUGGCGGCAUGCCUAACACAUGCAAGUCGAACGCAUGUAGCAAUACAUGAGUGGCGAACGGGUGAGUAACGCGUGGGAACCUGCCUAGUGGUAGGGAAUAACCGCGGGAAACUGCGGCUAAUACCCUAUGAGCCCUCCGGGGGAAAGAUUUAUCGCCAUUAGAGGGGCCCGCGUCGGAUUAGCUAGUUGGUGGGGUAACGGCCCACCAAGGCGACGAUCCGUAGCUGGUCUGAGAGGAUGAUCAGCCACACUGGGACUGAGAUACGGCCCAGACUCCUACGGGAGGCAGCAGUGGGGAAUCUUGCGCAAUGGGCGAAAGCCUGACGCAGCGACGCCGCGUGAGGGAUGACGGCCUU
RNAcentral lists this ribosomal RNA (364 nucleotides) under uncultured bacterium. RNAcentral's name for it is "bacterial SSU rRNA". It matches the Rfam family "Bacterial small subunit ribosomal RNA", at positions 29 to 418 of the family's 1533-position model. The record is from RNAcentral.